This 627-nucleotide ribosomal RNA is filed under the name uncultured bacterium. RNAcentral describes it as "bacterial SSU rRNA". The stretch from base 1 to 543 matches the Rfam family "Bacterial small subunit ribosomal RNA", at positions 338 to 873 of the family's 1533-position model. The record is from RNAcentral.
CCUACGGGAGGCAGCAGUGGGGAAUUGUUCGCAAUGGGCGCAAGCCUGACGACGCAACGCCGCGUGGAGGAUGAAGACCUUCGGGUCGUAAACUCCUUUCGAUCGAGACGAAUGUUUUCCGGGUGAACAAUCCGGAAAAGUGACGGUACCGAGAGAAGAAGCCCCGGCUAACUCUGUGCCAGCAGCCGCGGUAAUACAGGGGGGGCAAGCGUUGUUCGGAAUUACUGGGCGUAAAGGGCUUGUAGGUGGCCAACUAAGUCAGACGUGAAAUCCCUCAGCUUAACUGGGGAACUGCGUCUGAUACUGGAUGGCUUGAGUUUGGGAGAGGGAUGCGGAAUUCCAGGUGUAGCGGUGAAAUGCGUAGAUAUCUGGAGGAACACCGGUGGCGAAGGCGGCAUCCUGGACCAACACUGACACUGAGGAGCGAAAGCCAGGGGAGCAAACGGGAUUAGAUACCCCGGUAGUCCUGGCCCUAAACGAUGAAUGCUUGGUGUGGCGGGUAUCGAUCCCUGCCGUGCCGAAGCUAACGCAUUAAGCAUCGCCGUCGGAGGUACGGUCGCGAGCGUGAACGUACGAAGAAGUUAGACGGCGUGAGACGUGCCGACGGACGACGACGACGGGAGGAGG